This 407-nucleotide ribosomal RNA is filed under the name uncultured bacterium. Its description in RNAcentral is "bacterial SSU rRNA". It matches the Rfam family "Bacterial small subunit ribosomal RNA", at positions 100 to 518 of the family's 1533-position model. The record is from RNAcentral.
ACGGGUGGAGUAACGCGUGAGGCAACCUGCCCCGGAGUGCGGAAUAACGUCUGGAAACGGACGCUAAUACCGCAUGAUACACAGAGGACGCAUGGACUUUGUGUCAAAGAGAAAUCGCUCCUGGAUGGGCUCGCGUCCGAUUAGUUAGUUGGUGAGGUAAUGGCUCACCAAGACCGCGAUCGGUAGCCGGACUGAGAGGUUGAACGGCCACAUUGGAACUGAGAAACGGGUCCAGACGUCCUACCGGGAGGCAGCAGUGGGGAAUAUUGGGCAAUGGGCGAAAAAGCCUGACCCAGCGACGCCGCGUGAGGGAAGAAGGUCUUCGGAUUGUAAACCUCUGUUGACAGGGAAGAAAAAAUGACGGUACCUGUCGAGGAAGCCACGGCUAACUACGUGCCAGCCGCUGC